AAAAAAUUACAACAAAUGAGGGGGAAACCUCUGCUAGGUUUUCAACCCCCCAGACCUCCAUGCCGCCGCCGCCCGUCUAGGCCGAUCCACGACCUCAGUCGCCCCAGUCUCUGAUCACGACGGAGAUGGCCACCGACGAAGAAAAUGGUAAAAUCCCUCCUCUUUUCUUUAUAUUUUAAACAAAAGUUAAAAAAACAAAACAAAUAAUCUUAAAAAAACACCUAACAGAAUAGGAAGAAAAAAACCUUUAUUCAAAAAUUUUCUCUUUUAAUUUCUUUUCUCUCUGAUUUUUUACAUCCCCCCACCUUUUACACUAUCAUCAUUCGGUUUUAUAGCCGAAUCUUAGAGAAAUAAUAAUAAAAUAAAAUAAAUCCCUUGAUUCCUGCUAUAUUUUUUGCUAUCUAUUGCUUGUGAUCUGUUGCAGAUUCGUAGGAGACGUGUACGGCGUGUGCGAUGUUUACGGAGGUGCGCAAGGGAGAGCCAACGUGCAGAACGUUGCAUCGUUGGGGCGAGGCGGCUGCAGCGCUAAGCAUACUGCUACUAGGGUUUCUGAAGGCUUGUUUUGGGUCACAUUGUAUUUGGGCUAGGGUCUAGUAUUUGGGCUGAUGUAAUUUGGGUUUUGUAAAAACUUGGACUGCUUACAUUUUUUUGUUUUGUAAGGGCCCGGGUGAAUUGGGCUUAUUACACAAAUAGUAAUAAAAAUAAUAAUACUGCAAAAAACUGAAGUGAAAC
Molecule: long non-coding RNA, 732 nt
Filed under: Gossypium barbadense (sea-island cotton)
Lineage: Eukaryota; Viridiplantae; Streptophyta; Magnoliopsida; Malvales; Malvaceae
Description: long non-coding RNA (GBAR_LNC019694)
Source: RNAcentral